GGAGGGUGCAAGCGUUGUUCGGAAUUACUGGGCGUAAAGAGCGUGUAGGCGGUUUGGUAAGUCAGAUGUGAAAGCCCUGGGCUCAACCCGGGAAGUGCAUUUGAAACUGCCAUGCUAGAGUAUGGGAGGGGAGAGUGGAAUUCCUAGUGUAGAGGUGAAAUUCGUAGAUAUUAGGAGGAACAUCCGUGGCGAAGGCGACUCUCUGGACCAAUACUGACGCUGAGACGCGAAAGCGUGGGGAGCGAACAGGGAUUAGAUACCCUGGUAGUCCACGCCGUAAACGAUGAGAACUAGGUGUAGCGGGUAUUGACCCCCCUGCUGUGCCGAAGUUAACGCAUUAAGUUCUCCGCCUGGGGAUACGGUCGCAAGAUUA
Molecule: ribosomal RNA, 373 nt
Filed under: uncultured organism
Description: partial 16S ribosomal RNA
Rfam family: Bacterial small subunit ribosomal RNA
Source: RNAcentral